GAUUCUGGCUCAGGAUGAACGCUAGCUACAGGCUUAACACAUGCAAGUCGAGGGGCAUCACGUGAGGCAGCAAUGCAUCUGGGUGGCGACCGGCGAAUAGGUGAGUAACGAGUAUCCAACCUGGCCCAUACUCGGGCACACGCCCGCGAAAGCGGGAUUAAUGCCCGAUGCGGCGUAUCUCCCGCAUGGGAAUUACGUCAAAGGUAUAAACUGGUAUGGGAUGGGGAUGCGUCCGAUUAGCUAGACGGCGGGGUAACGGCCCACCGUGGCGAUGAUCGGUAGGGGUCCUGAGAGGAAGGUCCCCCACAUUGGAACUGAGACACGGUCCAAACUCCUACGGGAGGCAGCAGUGAGGAAUAUUGGUCAAUGGCCGUAAGGCUGAACCAGCCAAGUAGCGUGAGGGAAUGACCGCCCUAUGGGUCGUAAACCUCUUUUGCACGGGAAUAACCGCACCCACGCGUGGGUGCCUGCAUGUACCGUGCGAAUAAGCAUCGGCUAACUCCGUGCCAGCCGCCGC
Molecule: ribosomal RNA, 517 nt
Filed under: uncultured bacterium
Lineage: Bacteria
Description: bacterial SSU rRNA
Rfam family: Bacterial small subunit ribosomal RNA
Source: RNAcentral